This 490-nucleotide ribosomal RNA is filed under the name uncultured bacterium. RNAcentral describes it as "partial 16S ribosomal RNA". It matches the Rfam family "Bacterial small subunit ribosomal RNA", at positions 29 to 507 of the family's 1533-position model. The record is from RNAcentral.
AGUGAACGCUGGCGGUAGGCCUAACACAUGCAAGUCGAACGGCAGCACAGGAGAGCUUGCUCUCUAGGUGGCGAGUGGCGGACGGGUGAGGAAUACAUCGGAAUCUGCCCAGUCGUGGGGGAUAACGUAGGGAAACUUACGCUAAUACCGCAUACGACCUUCGGGUGAAAGAGGGGGAUCGCAAGACCUCUCGCGAUUGGAUGAGCCGAUGUCGGAUUAGCUAGUUAGCGGGGUAAUGGCCCACCAAGGCGACGAUCCGUAGCUGGUCUGAGAGGGUGAUCAGCCACACGGGAACUGAGACACGGUCCAGACUCCUACGGGAGGCAGCAGUGGGGAAUAUUGGACAAUGGGCGCAAGCCUGAUCCAGCCAUACCGCGUGGGUGAAGAAGGCCUUCGGGUUGUAAAGCCCUUUUGUUGGGAAAGAAAUCUUUCAGGCUAAUACCCUGGGAGGAUGACGGUACCCAAAGAAUAAGCACCGGCUAACUUCGUG